RNAcentral lists this long non-coding RNA (1275 nucleotides) under Olea europaea subsp. europaea. The record is from RNAcentral. Lineage: Eukaryota; Viridiplantae; Streptophyta; Magnoliopsida; Lamiales; Oleaceae.
AAAGUAUCAAAAAAUGAACACAAAUAAAAUUAUAUAUGGACCCAAAAUAAUCCAAACGCUAGACUAAUAACUCACGCCUCUCCCCUCUCCUCCUCUUCUUCACUCCCGACCAAAAGUUUUAAUUCUCCAUAUUUUGCCCAAUUAAUUUGCUCACGUUCAGCCCCAAUAGAAGGUCUUAGUGUUGAUUGAGGGUGCAAAAACGAUGUUCUUUCUCUUCGAGAUCUUUUUUUGGAUAAUAUAAGGUACAUAGAUGAGCAGAACAGCGCUGCGAAUCGGACCUAUAAACUGGGUUUGAACUGAUUCACUGAUCUCAGCAAUGAGGAGUACCGAUCCAUGUAUUUGUGUGCGAAAAUCGGUGAUAGGAAGACGAAGAGUGAUCGGGACGGUAUAAACUGAAAGACGGCAACAACUUGCCAAAUUCCAUUGACUGGAGAGACAAAGGCCCUGUCCCUCCAGUGAAAGAUCAAGGGAGCUGUGGUAAGCCCUUUUAUUUAUUAUUCCAUAGAAAAGUUCUCAAUUAGAUUUUAUACUGCUUUAAAGUUUAGUGCAAAUCAGUCCAUUUUGUUGAGUAAAAAAAAAAAAAAAAAAAAAUGAAACUAGUCCAAAUUAAUUCAUUUUAUGGUGAUUAGGCUUAAUCGGUGGGCUUAGUGGGAAAUUAUGGUUGUUCUGUCGAAUAACUUGGUCCAGUAAGUAAUUGAACAUAAUAGAGUAGAAAAAACCGUUGAGGCUGGAGAAAUGGGGUUCCCUGUCUCUUGUUGGAUACCAAUAUAUGUUAAGAGUGACAAAAUUCAAUUACGGUUGAUCUACCUCCAUGGUUUGCUUAUGAUUAUAUAGAGAUUGGUAACUUUAAUCCUCUUUGGUGUUUCUGCGGAUGGUAUUUUUAGCCUUGGCCUUUGCUCAGAGUGAGGUAUUGUGGUAUUUCUAGCACCUUUGAAUAGCUUCAUCAAAAUCAAAAGCAGCCCAAGUUGUUCCAGUAGAAAUUGUAAGGAAAUUACAUAUUUUAAGGGGGUUAGUGGAAUACAACUUUGUAAUGUGUAUUAUAUCUCUUAGUUAUAGAGCAUAUCACGUCAAAAUGCAACCCUUUUUGAUGUUUGGUUCAUGGAUGAGGGAUGCAAAUGAUCCAACUAUUGGGUUCUUAUUGGAUGGAAUGGACCAUCUUUGUUGUCUAGUGUGGAAGUACAUUACAGGUCAGAUACCCUUACUAAAGCCAAAAUAAUAAUAAUAAUAAGAACAAUAAUAAUAAUAAUAACAAUAAGAAUAACAAUAACAAUAAUA